AAUCAAUGAACUUGUAAAGUAUAUAUUUUGAAAAUAUAAAAAAGUGAUUAAAUUCACUAUUGAUUU
RNAcentral lists this transfer RNA (66 nucleotides) under Tenebrionoidea sp. 18 KM-2017. RNAcentral describes it as "tRNA-Ser". Lineage: Eukaryota; Metazoa; Arthropoda; Insecta; Coleoptera. The record is from RNAcentral.